Phyllopteryx taeniolatus (common seadragon) is the source of this 106-nucleotide small nuclear RNA. Lineage: Eukaryota; Metazoa; Chordata; Actinopteri; Syngnathiformes; Syngnathidae. The record is from RefSeq and is a predicted model, not a curated record.
GUGUUACUUCGGUACACACAUGUUAAAAUUGGAUCGAUACAGAGACGAUUAGCAUGGACCCCUGCGUAAGGUUGACACGCACAAUCGUGAAGCGGAUCCAAGUUUU